CCUACGGGAGGCAGCAGUAGGGAAUCUUUCACAAUGGGCGAAAGCCUGCUGGAGCAACGCCGCGUGCGGGAUGAAGGCAUUCGGGUUGUAAACUGCUUUUAUAAGCGAGAAAUAUGAUGGUAACUUAUGAAUAAGGAUCGUCUAACUACGUGCCAGCAGCCGCGGUCAUACGUAGGAUCCGAGCAUUAUCCGGAGUGACUGGGUGUAAAGAGUUGCGUAGGUGGCAUAAUAAGUAGCUAGUGAAAUCUGGUGGCUCAACCAUUCAGACUAUUAGCUAAACUGGUAAGCUAGAGACCGUUAGGGGUAACUGGAAUUUGUAGUGUAGGAGUGAAAUCCGUAGAUAUUAGAAGGAACGCCGAUAGCGUAGGCAGGUUACUGGGACGGUUCUGACACUAAGGCACGAAAGCGUAGGGAGCAAACGGGAUUAGAUACCCUAGUAGUC
RNAcentral lists this ribosomal RNA (442 nucleotides) under uncultured bacterium. RNAcentral describes it as "partial 16S ribosomal RNA". It matches the Rfam family "Bacterial small subunit ribosomal RNA", at positions 338 to 795 of the family's 1533-position model. The record is from RNAcentral.